This 162-nucleotide microRNA precursor is filed under the name Lotus japonicus. Its description in RNAcentral is "miR7544 stem-loop (lja-MIR7544)". Lineage: Eukaryota; Viridiplantae; Streptophyta; Magnoliopsida; Fabales; Fabaceae. The record is from miRBase by way of RNAcentral.
GGAAAAAUGUUAGCGAUACUUUGUUUUUAACACUUUCAUUAUCUGGUUGAAAAUCAUGUAAAUAUACUAAAAAUAUGAGUUUUAAUUUCAAUUUAAUUAGACAUAGAUAAAUUUUAAUCAAUUAAUGAAAGAGUGUUAGAAAGAAAAUGUUGUUAGCACUCC